GAGUUUGACGUAAUGCUAAGGCUUGGGUCCUGAAGUCAAUUGGUAAAAAAUGGAGGAAAUGGAAGGGUGAGCUGAAGAAACUCCACUACUCUUCUCAUGAGACUGAUGAGGAGCGGCUCGUAGAUCUUGAUGAGCGGGUCUAAGAGGAUCAAUGGAAGACUCUUGUUCAGUUUUGGAACUCUGAAGAGGGGAAGGCUCGUUCUAAAACAAAUAUAGAGAAUCGGAAGAAACAACUGAUUAACCACAUGGCAGGCACGAAGAGUUUUGUGCGAAUACAUGAAGAAGAGAGGAAAAAUGCCAAUGGGGAGGGUCUAAGCCAAGCAGAUAUGUUUAUAUUGACUCAUACAUGCAAAGAUGGAAACCCUGUGGAUGAAGCCUCAUCAGUAGUAAUGGCAAAACUCAAUGAAGAAAUCUCUUAGUAACCUAGAGCCUUAUAGAAUAGCACAACAACGAAUGAUCUAUUAUCUCAAGU
Molecule: long non-coding RNA, 472 nt
Organism: Magnolia sinica
Lineage: Eukaryota; Viridiplantae; Streptophyta; Magnoliopsida; Magnoliales; Magnoliaceae
Exons: 4
Source: RefSeq, a predicted model, not a curated record